AAGGUAUAGACAUCGUGAUGAUA
RNAcentral lists this non-coding RNA (23 nucleotides) under Arabidopsis thaliana (thale cress). Lineage: Eukaryota; Viridiplantae; Streptophyta; Magnoliopsida; Brassicales; Brassicaceae. The record is from RNAcentral.